This 1014-nucleotide ribosomal RNA is filed under the name Bacillus pumilus. RNAcentral describes it as "bacterial SSU rRNA". It matches the Rfam family "Bacterial small subunit ribosomal RNA", at positions 533 to 1533 of the family's 1533-position model. Lineage: Bacteria; Bacillati; Bacillota; Bacilli; Caryophanales; Bacillaceae. The record is from RNAcentral.
GGGUGACGUGUCGGAUAUUGGGCGUAAAGGGCUCGCAGGCGGUUUCUUAAGUCUGAUGUGAAAGCCCCCGGCUCAACCGGGGAGGGUCAUUGGAAACUGGGAAACUUGAGUGCAGAAGAGGAGAGUGGAAUUCCACGUGUAGCGGUGAAAUGCGUAGAGAUGUGGAGGAACACCAGUGGCGAAGGCGACUCUCUGGUCUGUAACUGACGCUGAGGAGCGAAAGCGUGGGGAGCGAACAGGAUUAGAUACCCUGGUAGUCCACGCCGUAAACGAUGAGUGCUAAGUGUUAGGGGGUUUCCGCCCCUUAGUGCUGCAGCUAACGCAUUAAGCACUCCGCCUGGGGAGUACGGUCGCAAGACUGAAACUCAAAGGAAUUGACGGGGGCCCGCACAAGCGGUGGAGCAUGUGGUUUAAUUCGAAGCAACGCGAAGAACCUUACCAGGUCUUGACAUCCUCUGACAACCCUAGAGAUAGGGCUUUCCCUUCGGGGACAGAGUGACAGGUGGUGCAUGGUUGUCGUCAGCUCGUGUCGUGAGAUGUUGGGUUAAGUCCCGCAACGAGCGCAACCCUUGAUCUUAGUUGCCAGCAUUCAGUUGGGCACUCUAAGGUGACUGCCGGUGACAAACCGGAGGAAGGUGGGGAUGACGUCAAAUCAUCAUGCCCCUUAUGACCUGGGCUACACACGUGCUACAAUGGACAGAACAAAGGGCUGCGAGACCGCAAGGUUUAGCCAAUCCCAUAAAUCUGUUCUCAGUUCGGAUCGCAGUCUGCAACUCGACUGCGUGAAGCUGGAAUCGCUAGUAAUCGCGGAUCACCAUGCCGCGGGGGGAAAUACGUUCCCGGGGCCUUGUACACACCGCCCGUCACACCACCGAGAGUUUGCAACACCCGAAGUCCGGUGAGGUAACCUUUAUGGAGCCAGCCGCCGAAGGUGGGGCAGAUGAUUGGGGUGAUCAAAAAAAAAAAAACCACAAAAAAAAAAAAAAAAAGAAGUAUAACCCCCCGCGCUUUUUU